GAUGAAGAACGGAGCGAAAUGCGAUAAGUAAUGUGAAUUGCAGAAUUCAGUGAAUCAUCGAAUCUUUGAACGCACAUUGCGCCCUCUGGUAUUCCGGGGGGCAUGCCUGUUCGAGCGUCAUUAUAACCACUCAAGCUCUCGCUUGGUAUUGGAGUUCGCGAUCUCGCGGCUCCUAAAAUCAGUGGCGGUGCCUGUCGGCUCUACGCGUAGUAAUACUCCUCGCGAUUGAGUCCGGUAGGUUUACUUGCCAGCAACCCCCAAUUUUUACAGGUUGACCUCGGAUCAGGUAGGGAUACCCGCUGAACUUAAGCAUAUCAAUAAGCGGAGGA
RNAcentral lists this unclassified non-coding RNA (329 nucleotides) under soil metagenome. Its description in RNAcentral is "partial contains 5.8S ribosomal RNA, internal transcribed spacer 2, and large subunit ribosomal RNA". The stretch from base 1 to 120 matches the Rfam family "5.8S ribosomal RNA", at positions 35 to 154 of the family's 154-position model. The record is from RNAcentral.